Molecule: unclassified non-coding RNA, 311 nt
Filed under: uncultured fungus
Lineage: Eukaryota; Fungi
Description: partial contains small subunit ribosomal RNA, internal transcribed spacer 1, and 5.8S ribosomal RNA
Rfam family: Eukaryotic small subunit ribosomal RNA (bases 1-73)
Source: RNAcentral
GCAAACUUGGUCAUUUAGAGGAAGUAAAAGUCGUAACAAGGUUUCCGUAGGUGAACCUGCGGAAGGAUCAUUAUCGAAUGAAACUAGAGUUGGUUGUCGCUGGCCCCUUCACUGGGGCAUGUGCACGCCUCCUCUAUUCAUCCACACACACCUGUGAACUUGUGAGACGGAUAGUAGCCCUUUCGGGGGCGAGGUCCGUCUGCUAUACAUAAACUCCAAUAUAUAAAUUUGAAUGUAAUUUGAUGUAACGCAUCUUUAAACUAAGUUUCAACAACGGAUCUCUUGGCUCUCGCAUCGAUGAAGAACGCAGC